This 265-nucleotide ribosomal RNA is filed under the name uncultured bacterium. RNAcentral describes it as "partial 16S ribosomal RNA". It matches the Rfam family "Bacterial small subunit ribosomal RNA", at positions 1227 to 1500 of the family's 1533-position model. The record is from RNAcentral.
ACAAUGGCAGGUACAGAGGGAUGCUACCGGGCGACCGGAUGCGGAUCUCGAAAGCCUGUCCCAGUUCGGACUGGAGUCUGCAACCCGACUCCACGAAGUUGGAUUCGCUAGUAAUCGCGCGUCAGCCAUGGCGCGGUGAAUACGUUCCCGGGCCUUGUACACACCGCCCGUCAAGCCAUGGGAGCCGGGGGCGCCUGAAGUCCGGGACCGCGAGGACCGGCCUAGGGCGAAACUGGUAACUGGGGCUAAGUCGUAACAAGGUAUC